CGAGAAUGUUAAUGAACAUACUGAACACUCAAAUCUACAAAUGCAUUUCGUGCUUUUAGUAAAAUAGAAGGAAAAUGAUGUUGUGUUUUAAUUAAACAUAACGCAAAUUGCCGCCUAAAAUGUUUGCAAACACGCAAACCAUGCAGGUCAGUGUGAAUUUUAAAAUUUUGCCUGACCACAUGUAAUCACUACCACUGCAUAAUCCGAACUGAGAAACGGCAAGAAGGGACAAAGUAUAGUUUAUGAUACUUCAGUUAGAACAGACCGAAACCUGAGAAGUCCUUGAGAAACACAAACGUAAACAGUUCGAAGAAACAUCACACCGAGAUCAGAGAUGUAUAAUGGAUCACCUUUUGUGCUAUUUACGAUUUACAUAUAUUUUUCACGUUUGCCGAAGAAGUCGAAAUAAGAUGGAGGAUACAAAAUGCAGAUGAAACUUCAAACUUUCAAAGCAAUUCGAAGUUUCUAUCAGUGCCUGUGAUUGGUCAUUCCAUUAUGGCGUCCUCUUAUUUAGACCAAUCAGAUUCAUCGUUGAAAGGUGCGUUGCGCGGAGUGUGGUGGAGUGCAACAUUCCUCUUCGAAGCUUCGUCCGUUUGGCACGUGUCUGCAACAGGUGUACGUCGACCUUGAAGGAUUAAGUGCAUCAAUGGUUCAGUCUCUUUAGCAUUCAGAUUGCAUUGACAUCAGCUACCGCGUGGAAAUUCAAAGAUCCGACAACUCAAUUUGAAUAAAUUUCCCGGCCCGCUAUCGCACAGGCGAUAAAACUUUCUCGAGCAUAAAAUUAGCAACUAUAUCCGAUAUUUUACGACUUACCUUUU
This is a non-coding RNA of Osmia lignaria (orchard mason bee), 818 nucleotides long. The record is from RefSeq and is a predicted model, not a curated record. NCBI's taxonomy places the organism in Eukaryota, Metazoa, Arthropoda, Insecta, Hymenoptera, Megachilidae.